Molecule: ribosomal RNA, 494 nt
Filed under: uncultured bacterium
Lineage: Bacteria
Description: partial 16S ribosomal RNA
Rfam family: Bacterial small subunit ribosomal RNA
Source: RNAcentral
GACGAACGCUGGCGGCGUGCCUAAUACAUGCAAGUCGAGCGGACUUAAAAAGCUUGCUUUUUAAGUUAGCGGCGGACGGGUGAGUAACACGUGGGCAACCUGCCUGUAAGACUGGGAUAACUUCGGGAAACCGGAGCUAAUACCGGAUAAUCCUUUUCUACUCAUGUAGAAAAGCUGAAAGACGGUUUACGCUGUCACUUACAGAUGGGCCCGCGGCGCAUUAGCUAGUUGGUGAGGUAACGGCUCACCAAGGCGACGAUGCGUAGCCGACCUGAGAGGGUGCUCGGCCACACUGGGACUGAGACACGGCCCAGACUCCUACGGGAGGCAGCAGUAGGGAAUCUUCCGCAAUGGACGAAAGUCUGACGGAGCAACGCCGCGUGAGUGAUGAAGGUUUUCGGAUCGUAAAACUCUGUUGUUAGGGAAGAACAAGUACGAGAGUAACUGCUCGUACCUUGACGGUACCUAACCAGAAAGCCACGGCUAACUACGUG